Molecule: regulatory RNA element, 112 nt
Organism: Paenibacillus swuensis
Lineage: Bacteria; Bacillati; Bacillota; Bacilli; Caryophanales; Paenibacillaceae
Rfam family: epsC RNA
Source: Rfam
UGGGAAUGUCUCCUAGCCGUUAUCCGCGGAGGCACUCGGCCAUGCUGUGGGUUGAAAUAAACCUUAGACGCCAGUCGUCAAGAGUGUGGUGUGAGGAUGGGUUUAAUGCCCU